UACGUGAGGGGCGAACGUUGUUCGGUGUCACUGGGCUUAAAGGGCGCGUAGGUGGUUGCGUAAGUAACGUGUGAAAUCCCUCGGCUUACCCGGGGAAUUGCGCGUUAUACUGCGUGACUUGAGGAUCUCAGGGGAAUGGGGAACUCCAGGUGUAGCGGUGAAAUGCGCAGAUAUCUGGGGGAAGGCCGGCGGCGAAGGCGCCAUUCUGGGAGAUACCUGACACUGAGGCGCGAAAGCGUGGGGAGCAAACAGG
This 253-nucleotide ribosomal RNA is filed under the name uncultured bacterium. Its description in RNAcentral is "partial 16S ribosomal RNA". It matches the Rfam family "Bacterial small subunit ribosomal RNA", at positions 524 to 776 of the family's 1533-position model. The record is from RNAcentral.